RNAcentral lists this ribosomal RNA (2899 nucleotides) under Klebsiella pneumoniae. RNAcentral's name for it is "23S ribosomal RNA". It matches the Rfam family "Bacterial large subunit ribosomal RNA". The record is from RNAcentral. Lineage: Bacteria; Pseudomonadati; Pseudomonadota; Gammaproteobacteria; Enterobacterales; Enterobacteriaceae.
GGUUAAGCGACUAAGCGUACACGGUGGAUGCCCUGGCAGUCAGAGGCGAUGAAGGACGUGCUAAUCUGCGAAAAGCGUCGGUAAGGUGAUAUGAACCGUUAUAACCGGCGAUGUCCGAAUGGGGAAACCCAGUGCAAUUCGUUGCACUAUCGUUAACUGAAUACAUAGGUUAACGAGGCGAACCGGGGGAACUGAAACAUCUAAGUACCCCGAGGAAAAGAAAUCAACCGAGAUUCCCUCAGUAGCGGCGAGCGAACGGGGAGCAGCCCAGAGUCUGAAUCAGCUUGUGUGUUAGUGGAACGGUCUGGAAAGUCCGACGGUACAGGGUGAUAGUCCCGUACACCAAAAUGCACAGGUUGUGAACUCGAAGAGUAGGGCGGGACACGUGGUAUCCUGUCUGAAUAUGGGGGGACCAUCCUCCAAGGCUAAAUACUCCUGACUGACCGAUAGUGAACCAGUACCGUGAGGGAAAGGCGAAAAGAACCCCGGCGAGGGGAGUGAAAAAGAACCUGAAACCGUGUACGUACAAGCAGUGGGAGCACCUUCGGGUGUGACUGCGUACCUUUUGUAUAAUGGGUCAGCGACUUAUAUUCUGUAGCAAGGUUAACCGUAUAGGGGAGCCGCAGGGAAACCGAGUCUUAACUGGGCGUUAAGUUGCAGGGUAUAGACCCGAAACCCGGUGAUCUAGCCAUGGGCAGGUUGAAGGUUGGGUAACACUAACUGGAGGACCGAACCGACUAAUGUUGAAAAAUUAGCGGAUGACUUGUGGCUGGGGGUGAAAGGCCAAUCAAACCGGGAGAUAGCUGGUUCUCCCCGAAAGCUAUUUAGGUAGCGCCUCGUGAAUUCAUCUUCGGGGGUAGAGCACUGUUUCGGCUAGGGGUCAUCCCGACUUACCAACCCGAUGCAAACUACGAAUACCGAAGAAUGUUAUCACGGGAGACACACGGCGGGUGCUAACGUCCGUCGUGAAGAGGGAAACAACCCAGACCGCCAGCUAAGGUCCCAAAGUCAUGGUUAAGUGGGAAACGAUGUGGGAAGGCACAGACAGCCAGGAUGUUGGCUUAGAAGCAGCCAUCAUUUAAAGAAAGCGUAAUAGCUCACUGGUCGAGUCGGCCUGCGCGGAAGAUGUAACGGGGCUAAACCAUGCACCGAAGCUGCGGCAGCGACACUAUGUGUUGUUGGGUAGGGGAGCGUUCUGUAAGCCUGCGAAGGUGUGCUGUGAGGCAUGCUGGAGGUAUCAGAAGUGCGAAUGCUGACAUAAGUAACGAUAAAGCGGGUGAAAAGCCCGCUCGCCGGAAGACCAAGGGUUCCUGUCCAACGUUAAUCGGGGCAGGGUGAGUCGACCCCUAAGGCGAGGCCGAAAGGCGUAGUCGAUGGGAAACAGGUUAAUAUUCCUGUACUUGGUGUUACUGCGAAGGGGGACGGAGAAGGCUAUGUUAGCCGGGCGACGGUUGUCCCGGUUUAAGCAUGUAGGCUGGUUAUCCAGGCAAAUCCGGAUAAUCAAGGCUGAGGUGUGAUGACGAGGCACUACGGUGCUGAAGUAACAAAUGCCCUGCUUCCAGGAAAAGCCUCUAAGCAUCAGGUAACAUUAAAUCGUACCCCAAACCGACACAGGUGGUCAGGUAGAGAAUACCAAGGCGCUUGAGAGAACUCGGGUGAAGGAACUAGGCAAAAUGGUGCCGUAACUUCGGGAGAAGGCACGCUGGUGUGUAGGUGAAGUCCCUGCGGAUGGAGCUGAGACCAGUCGAAGAUACCAGCUGGCUGCAACUGUUUAUUAAAAACACAGCACUGUGCAAACACGAAAGUGGACGUAUACGGUGUGACGCCUGCCCGGUGCCGGAAGGUUAAUUGAUGGGGUUAUCCGUAAGGAGAAGCUCUUGAUCGAAGCCCCGGUAAACGGCGGCCGUAACUAUAACGGUCCUAAGGUAGCGAAAUUCCUUGUCGGGUAAGUUCCGACCUGCACGAAUGGCGUAAUGAUGGCCAGGCUGUCUCCACCCGAGACUCAGUGAAAUUGAACUCGCUGUGAAGAUGCAGUGUACCCGCGGCAAGACGGAAAGACCCCGUGAACCUUUACUAUAGCUUGACACUGAACAUUGAGCCUUGAUGUGUAGGAUAGGUGGGAGGCUUUGAAGCGUGGACGCCAGUCUGCGUGGAGCCAACCUUGAAAUACCACCCUUUAAUGUUUGAUGUUCUAACGUUGGCCCCUUACCGGGGUUGCGGACAGUGUCUGGUGGGUAGUUUGACUGGGGCGGUCUCCUCCCAAAGCGUAACGGAGGAGCACGAAGGUUAGCUAAUCCUGGUCGGACAUCAGGAGGUUAGUGCAAUGGCAUAAGCUAGCUUGACUGCGAGCGUGACGGCGCGAGCAGGUGCGAAAGCAGGUCAUAGUGAUCCGGUGGUUCUGAAUGGAAGGGCCAUCGCUCAACGGAUAAAAGGUACUCCGGGGAUAACAGGCUGAUACCGCCCAAGAGUUCAUAUCGACGGCGGUGUUUGGCACCUCGAUGUCGGCUCAUCACAUCCUGGGGCUGAAGUAGGUCCCAAGGGUAUGGCUGUUCGCCAUUUAAAGUGGUACGCGAGCUGGGUUUAGAACGUCGUGAGACAGUUCGGUCCCUAUCUGCCGUGGGCGCUGGAGAAUUGAGGGGGCUGCUCCUAGUACGAGAGGACCGGAGUGGACGCAUCACUGGUGUUCGGGUUGUCAUGCCAAUGGCACUGCCCGGUAGCUAAAUGCGGAAGAGAUAAGUGCUGAAAGCAUCUAAGCACGAAACUUGCCCCGAGAUGAGUUCUCCCUGAGACUUUAAGUCUCCUGAAGGAACGUUGAAGACGACGACGUUGAUAGGCCGGGUGUGUAAGCGCAGCGAUGCGUUGAGCUAACCGGUACUAAUGAACCGUGAGGCUUAACCUU